CCUACGUGAGGCUGCAGUGGGGGAUAUUGCACAAUGGGGGGAACCCUGAUGCAGCGACGCCGCGUGGGUGCAGGAGCGUUUCGGCGCGUAAAGCCCUCUCGGCAGGGAAGAAGGAGGACGGUACCUGACUAAGAAGCCCCGGCUAACUACGUGCCAGCAGCCGCGGUCAUACGUAGGGGGCAAGCGUUAUCCGGAUUUACUGGGUGUAACGGGGGCGCAGACGGCAGCGCAAGCCAGGCGUGAAAGCCCGGGGCCCAACCCCGGGACUGCUCUUGGAACUGCGCGGCUGGAGUGCAGGAGGGGCAGGCGGAAUUCCUGGUGUAGCGGUGAAAUGCGUAGAUAUCAGGAGGAACACCGGUGGCGAAGGCGGCCUGCUGGACUGCGACUGACGUUGAGGCCCGAAAGCGUGGGGAGCAAACAGGAUUAGAUACCCCGGUAGUC
RNAcentral lists this ribosomal RNA (441 nucleotides) under uncultured bacterium. Its description in RNAcentral is "partial 16S ribosomal RNA". It matches the Rfam family "Bacterial small subunit ribosomal RNA", at positions 338 to 795 of the family's 1533-position model. The record is from RNAcentral.